Molecule: ribosomal RNA, 429 nt
Filed under: Gemmatimonadota bacterium
Lineage: Bacteria; Pseudomonadati; Gemmatimonadota
Description: Gemmatimonadetes bacterium partial 16S ribosomal RNA
Rfam family: Bacterial small subunit ribosomal RNA
Source: RNAcentral
UAGGGAAUCUUCGGCAAUGGACGAAAGUCUGACCGAGCAACGCCGCGUGAGUGAAGAAGGUUUUCGGAUCGUAAAACUCUGUUGUUAGAGAAGAACAAGGACGUUAGUAACUGAACGUCCCCUGACGGUAUCUAACCAGAAAGCCACGGCUAACUACGUGCCAGCAGCCGCGGUAAUACGUAGGUGGCAAGCGUUGUCCAGAUUUAUUGGGCGUAAAGCGAGCGCAGGCGGUUUCUUAAGUCUGAUGUGAAAGCCCCCGGCUCAACCGGGGAGGGUCAUUGGAAACUGGGGGACUUGAGUGCAGAAGAGGAGAGUGGAAUUCCAUGUGUAGCGGUGAAAUGCGUAGAUAUAUGGAGGAACACCAGUGGCGAAGGCGGCUCUCUGGUCUGUAACUGACGCUGAGGCUCGAAAGCGUGGGGAGCAAACAGG